RNAcentral lists this ribosomal RNA (406 nucleotides) under uncultured bacterium. RNAcentral describes it as "partial 16S ribosomal RNA". It matches the Rfam family "Bacterial small subunit ribosomal RNA", at positions 30 to 526 of the family's 1533-position model. The record is from RNAcentral.
AUUGAACGCUGGCGGCAGGCCUAACACAUGCAAGUCGAACGAGGGGCGGACGGGUGAGUAAUGUCUGGGAAACUGGCUGAUGGAGGGGGAUAACUACUGGAAACGGUAGCUAAUACCGCAUACCAUCAGAUGUGCCCAGAUGGGUGUAGCUUGUUGGUGGGGUAAAGGCUCACCACGGCGACGAUCCCUAGCUGGUCUGAGAGGUUGACCAGCCACACUGGAACUGAGACACGGUCGAGACUCCUACGGGAGGCAGCAGUGGGGAAUAGUGCACAAUGGGCGCAAGCCUGAUGCAGCCAUGCCGCGUGGAUGAAGAAGGCCUUCGGGUUGUAAAGUACUUUCAGCGGGGAGGCGUUACCCACAGAAGAAGCACCGGCUAACUCCGUGCCAGCAGCCGCGGUAAUAC